UAGGGAAUUUUCCACAAUGGGCGAAAGCCUGAUGGAGCAACGCCGCGUGCAGGAUGAAUGCCUUCGGGUUGUAAACUGCUUUUAUAUGUGACGAAUAUGACGGUAGCAUAUGAAUAAGGAUCGGCUAACUCCGUGCCAGCAGCCGCGGUCAUACGGAGGAUCCAAGCGUUAUCCGGAAUUACUGGGCGUAAAGAGUUGCGUAGGCGGCAUUGUAAGCGAGUAGUGAAAUCGUGUGGCUCAACCAUACUUACAUUAUUCGAACUGCAAAGCUAGAGGACAAGAGAGGUCACUGGAAUUCCCUGUGUAGGAGUGAAAUCCGUAGAUAUAGGGAGGAACACCGAUGGCGUAGGCAGGUGACUGGCUUGUUCCUGACGCUCAGGCACGAAAGCGUGGGUAGCAA
RNAcentral lists this ribosomal RNA (400 nucleotides) under uncultured bacterium. RNAcentral describes it as "bacterial SSU rRNA". It matches the Rfam family "Bacterial small subunit ribosomal RNA", at positions 355 to 771 of the family's 1533-position model. The record is from RNAcentral.